GAUGAACGCUGGCGGCGUGCCUAAUACAUGCAAGUCGAGCGAACGGACGAGAAGCUUGCUUCUCUGAUGUUAGCGGCGGACGGGUGAGUAACACGUGGAUAACCUACCUAUAAGACUGGGACAACUUCGGGAAACCGUAGCUAAUACCGGAUAAUAUUUUGAACCGCAUGGUUCAAAAGUGAAAGACGGUCUUGCUGUCACUUAUAGAUGGAUCCGCGCUGCAUUAGCUAGUUGGUAAGGUAACGGCUUACCAAGGCAACGAUGCAUAGCCGACCUGAGAGGGUGAUCGGCCACACUGGAACUGAGACACGGUCCAGACUCCUACGGGAGGCAGCAGUAGGGAAUCUUCCGCAAUGGGCGAAAGCCUGACGGAGCAACGCCGCGUGAGUGAUGAAGGUCUUCGGAUCGUAAAACUCUGUUAUUAGGGAAGAACAUAUGUGUAAGUAACUGUGCACGUCUUGACGGUACCUAAUCAGAAAGCCACGGCUAACUACGUG
RNAcentral lists this ribosomal RNA (497 nucleotides) under uncultured bacterium. Its description in RNAcentral is "partial 16S ribosomal RNA". It matches the Rfam family "Bacterial small subunit ribosomal RNA", at positions 28 to 507 of the family's 1533-position model. The record is from RNAcentral.